GCGCUAAUAGCUCAGUUGGGAGAGCGUCAGACUGAAGUCAAUUCGGUCCAUUCCAUAUCCGGGGUAAUCUGAAGGUCACCCGUUCAAUCCGGGUUUGGCGCA
RNAcentral lists this transfer RNA (102 nucleotides) under Pyronema domesticum. Its description in RNAcentral is "tRNA-Phe". It matches the Rfam family "tRNA". Rfam says of the family: Transfer RNA (tRNA) molecules are approximately 80 nucleotides in length. Lineage: Eukaryota; Fungi; Ascomycota; Pezizomycetes; Pezizales; Pyronemataceae. The record is from RNAcentral.